Small nuclear RNA from Otolemur garnettii (small-eared galago), 101 nucleotides. Lineage: Eukaryota; Metazoa; Chordata; Mammalia; Primates; Galagidae. The record is from Ensembl.
GCCUGUUGAGGACAACUACUAAAACUGGAACGAUACAGAACAUAUUAGCAUAGCCCAUGUGUGAGGAUGACACCCAAAUUUGUGAAACAGUCCAAAAAGAU